UGAAGCCAUGAGCUCCUCCGUCUGAGCGCCAAGCUCCCCCUCCCCCCCUUCUGAGCUUGGGACAAGCCACUAGUUCCCCCUUCUGAACUAGAAAACAUGUCUCUUUCAAUAACACGACACAAUGAUGCAUGUCAAAUAUAAAUCAAUACAACAACAAAAAUAAUGCUUAUGGUCCCCCUUCUGAUCAUAACCAACAUUUAUUGACACACAAUAAUAAUUCCCCCCUUCUGAACUACUAUCCACCAAUUAUAACAACAAUGCAUACAAGCAUACAAAUAGUCACCCCUUCUGACCAUAACCAACAUGCUAAAUCACUGAUUUACGUACUUUAUUCUUCGAUUUCAUGAAAUCCACAUUUAGGUUUCAAGCCUUCAAAACAUCAACGAUGACAUACAUCACAUAAACAUAAAACAUAAUUUCACAGACACAAAUUUAGUCACGAAAAUCAGAUAACAACACAUUCAAUCAUCAAUUUUCAGAUUAUCAUACCACAACAACAAUUCAUAAUAGAUUUCAUACAAUCCAUAAAGAGAGUAAGGGUCCCUCUUCUACCUUUUCAUGCAAAACACCCAUAUAGAAGCACUCCCACCUUACCUCAGAUUCCUAGCAGCAAAAUUUAGAAUUUGAUCAACGUUGGUGGUUUGAGUUCUUCCCUCUUCAAGUCCUAACCUCCUUUUUUCUCCAAAAGCUCUCACAUUACAUAUUCUCCCUUAAAAACUCUAUUAACCUUUUUUUAUCUCUAAAACCUAAUUUAAUCUUUUAUUAAUUAUAUUUUGGCCCAAUUUUUUUUUGUAAUUCUCAUUGCUUCCCUUAUUUCUCUUAAUUCAUAUUUUCCAUCCAAAACCUCUCUUUCUAUUUUAUUUUAAUUAAUUAAAAACAAUUAUUAAUCAUAAUUAUUUCUAAUUAUUUAAAUCAUUUUAUCCUCCCACCAAUACUCUCACUACCAUAUGCCGCAUACACAUGUCACUAAUAAUAUAUAUAAUUAAAAGAGAACUACAUACUAAAUAAUUAAAUAAAAACACGAAUAAUUUGAUUAAAUAUAUUAAUCAAAUUCAGGGUGUUACAAUACCUCAAUUCGGGAAGUCUUGCGUUGUCGACCCUUUUCCUAAGACGAUCCCGAGUUGUCUCCCUAGGCAGGUUACUUACGAAUAUAACACAAUAUAUAUUAGUCAUAUUAAUAUGAUUUAAUCUAAAAUAUGUAAAAAUAAUUAUAU
RNAcentral lists this long non-coding RNA (1214 nucleotides) under Lathyrus oleraceus (garden pea). RNAcentral's name for it is "Pisum sativum (pea) long non-coding RNA (PSAT_LNC038726)". Lineage: Eukaryota; Viridiplantae; Streptophyta; Magnoliopsida; Fabales; Fabaceae. The record is from RNAcentral.